CACAUUCGAUAUGUCAUAACGACUCCCGGCAACGGAUAUCUCGGCUCUCGCAUCGAUGAAGAACGUAGCGAAAUGCGAUACAUGGUGUGAAUUGCAGGAUCCCGUGAACCAUCGAGUUUUUGAACGCAAGUUGCGCCCGAAGCCGUUAGGCUAA
RNAcentral lists this ribosomal RNA (154 nucleotides) under Scepocarpus trinervis. RNAcentral describes it as "Urera trinervis 5.8S ribosomal RNA". The stretch from base 21 to 154 matches the Rfam family "5.8S ribosomal RNA", at positions 1 to 132 of the family's 154-position model. Rfam says of the family: 5.8S ribosomal RNA (5.8S rRNA) is a component of the large subunit of the eukaryotic ribosome. It is transcribed by RNA polymerase I as part of the 45S precursor that also contains 18S and 28S rRNA. Lineage: Eukaryota; Viridiplantae; Streptophyta; Magnoliopsida; Rosales; Urticaceae. The record is from RNAcentral.